This 2613-nucleotide long non-coding RNA is filed under the name Canis lupus familiaris (dog). RNAcentral's name for it is "lncRNA (ENSCAFG00000052101.1)". The record is from RNAcentral. Lineage: Eukaryota; Metazoa; Chordata; Mammalia; Carnivora; Canidae.
CUGUGGUUUACUAAUCUUCAUUGCUCUCUAUUUUCCAAUUCUUUGGGUCACUGCUGUUCAAAAGAAAUUUAAUGUGAACCACAUACGUAAUUAAAAAUUUCAUAGUAGCCAUACUAAAAAAGUAAAAAGAAAAAGAUGAAAUUAAUUUUAAUAAUAUAUUAUUUAAUCCCAUAUAGCCAAAAUAUUAUCAUUUCAACAUGUAAUCAGUAUACAAAUGGAAAUAUUUUACUUUUUUUUUGGUACCAAGUCUUAAAAAUUAAGAGCAUAAUUUAUGUUUCCAACACAUCUCAGUUGAAAGCAGCUGAACACUUCAAGAGUUCAGUCAUCACUUGAGGCUGACUACCAAAUUAGAAAAUACAGUGUUAGAUGCUUCCCUCACCUACAGAGCCCUUCUAGCAAUGGUUCUGAAAAUGUGGUCCCAGAAACAGCAGCAUCAGCCUCACCUGGGAAUUCCUCAGGAGUGCAAAUCUCAGGCCCCACUCCAGACCUACAGAAUCAGAAACUCUGUGGGUGGGGUCCAGCAGGCUAUGUUUUAAUGAGCCCUCCAGGUAGUUCUGAUGCACACUAAUGUUUUAAAAUCAUUGCCCUACUGUCACCUUAAUUUGCAACUCUGGCUUGUAUGCUGCUAAUCAUGAUUAAUAGGCAAAACCAAGUCCAAAUGACAAAAGUGCCCUUGGCUGAAAUGUUUUUCAUUUGGCUCUUCUGAGGCAUCAAAACCUAAAGUCAGUAUGACAGACUCCUAAAAUAUAGCUUGAGAAUUAUUCAUUAGAUUGUGUAUUUCUUUCAGACACUUAGGACUAGUGUAGUUUAGGGGUGCCCAACAGGAUGUUAUCCAGUAAAAUACCCCUUGCACUUAUUCAUAAAUGUCUGGAAUUUCUCUAAGGGGGAACUGGGUUGACAGUACCCACUUCUACACCUCCAAGAUCUGCCGGAGGGAGGAAACAGAUACACUGACUCAGGUAAAAGCCAGACUAACACAGUAGAAGAGCAUGGUGAUGGAAACUGAAAGAUCUGAAUCAGUAAAUGAAUUUAUCUCUUAUGAGCUGUGAUGUCUUUAGCUUUCCUCUUAACCUGUGACUCAUUUUCUUCAUCUGGAGAAUGAUAAUGACAACAAAGAAGUAAAAAAAAAAAGAAAAAAAUUCCUGUCAGUGUCACAACAUUGUUGGGAACCUCAUGAGAUUGUGUAUAUGGAGCUGUCAUAAGAUCCUGAAAAUUUGAGACUUUUGUUAGUGUUAUUAAAUGUAUACGACGGUAUAAAUGACUAAUUUCCCCCCUACAAGCAAAUCUGGAUAAGGAGAAUUGGGAAGCUGCACUGGGUGCUGGAAGUGGAAGAAGCUAAUGUACCAAAAAAGAGGCAGAGAGGGUCAGAGAGGGAGGCAGGUGGCACUGCUGACAAGCUGCUUGGACUGGACGGUUCUCCAGCUCUGACCAUUCUCUCGAAUACCUACAUAAUUUUAAAAUAUGAAUUACAAUGAAACCACACCACUGAUUGUAACAAAAAGUUUAGACCCUUCUAUCUUGCUAUUAUUUACCAUUCCAUUCGCUUCUAUGUGGGACUACUUGUAUUUUCUAACUAAACAGCCUGUGAUAAGCGGCAUGAAUGCUGGGCCAAUAAAAGGUAACAGCACUUUGCCAACUGAAAAAUACAAUGAGAUCCUGGUGACUGCUGCUUCCUGUGAAAACUUCAUUAGCAAUAAAUGGGUUACCAGAUGUCACACGUCAGAUUUGAAAUUAAAAUAUAUUCCCAGUAUUUGUGUGCAGUCUGAGCGGCAGGGAAAAAAAAAAAAGAAGCCUUUCCAAGAGAGCUGCAUAAGAUGCUGCACCACUUUUGCCUUCGAUUGUCUGUUUCUCCUCUAAAUGUAAAAUAAAAUGCAUCCCUUGGUUUGUAAAGUGGAAAUACAGCAUUUCUGCAUAGAAGGGCUAUGUAGUGAAGUGGCAUAUUACUCAUGCAGCAGCAACUCUUUAAGAACAAGGAAAUAUUUUUGAACAUUCUCUGCCACACCAAGACCACCAUCUCCUCUUGUUUUUAACUUUGCCAAAGCAAUUUCUCCUUUUCUUGCCUCCGCUUUCAGCAAGCAGUCUCUGCUUUUAAUUUUUUUUUUAAUUUUUAUUUAUUUAUGAUAGUCACAGAGAGAGAGAGAGAGAGGCAGAGACAUAGACAGAGGGAGAAGCAGGCUCCAUGCACCGGGAGCCCGAUGUGGGAUUUGAUCCCAGGUCUCCAGGAUCGCACCCUGGGCCAAAGGCAGGCGCCAAACCGCUGCGCCACCCAGGGAUCCCCAGUCUCUGCUUUUAUUACUGACAACAAAACUGCUCAAGUCAGCAACUGUCAACGUUGACUCCACUCUUCCCAAACCUGCUGUAACAACAGCACUUCCUUCUCUUCAUGAGAGUAAAAGUCUUCUUGUUCUUCCAGCUAGCUAAGUCGACUCUGUUCUUGUCCUCAAAGUUACAAGCCUCCAAUCAGAAAUCAACUGUAGUUAGGGAGGGAAUCCCAGUCCCAAAUAAGACAGCACAGUUGCACUUGAGCCAGCAGAAUUUUCAAAUGCUAAGCCAGUGUGAUAGAAAUAUCUAACAUCCUCGAGUUUUUAUAAGCAAAUAUUUUUGGCUAAAGAA